Zophobas morio is the source of this 752-nucleotide long non-coding RNA. RefSeq lists it as uncharacterized. The transcript is spliced from 2 exons. The record is from RefSeq and is a predicted model, not a curated record. Lineage: Eukaryota; Metazoa; Arthropoda; Insecta; Coleoptera; Tenebrionidae.
CACGAACCUAUAAAACUCAUCCAACAAAAGAAGUUGCUCAUUCGAUUUUUGUUUGUGUGUAUAUAUUCAUCAACUUGGUUUCACUGCCAACCUAAUAAAAUGAGAAAAUUACUGCUGUCAACCACUAUUUUGUUGCUCCUCCCAACAAACUUCUCUUUCUUGUACCAGCCCGUAAACUACAGAGAAAUUUUGUUCUCACUUACAAAUUCAUUGAACGUCGAUAUAAUUUCGAGUGUUGUCACGGACGUGGAUCCAUUUGAUUGGGUGGAUCCUAGAGGCCCUCUAUUAGAUUUUCAAGAUCUACAAAUUCCUUCUAAAGUUACACUUAAUAUAACAACGAAAUGUAACCUAGAUGUUACAUGGCUUCCGUUUACUAUGACGCACGCUUUUGCAGACGGUACUAGGGCAAAGUUUAGGUAUUACCUAAGUCUUGUGGCGCCCUACAUCGGCUUUCGUCAUGUCCUAGACGGCAACAGGGAUGCGAGUGUUAAAAUAAGCAACCAGACUUAUAAUCUUCUUACGGUUACUUUGACUGUAAACUAAAUGUUAUAACUUCGCUCAAAAAUUAGUUCUAAGAAAUAAAAAAAAGGAAAGAGGUCGAUGAACUGAGCAGCAGUUUUUGGUAACAGAGAUAAUUAGAGCUAAUGUUUUGAGAGAAGUUAGUCAUAAUUAUACACUUGUACAAACAAUAAGUUAUAAUUGGUUAGUUAUUCUAAUGUAGUUUGUAUUGUGUAUUAAACUAAUUAAUCAAA